AUUGAACGCUGGCGGCAUGCCUUACACAUGCAAGUCGAACGGCAGCAUGGAGAGCUUGCUCUCUGAUGGCGAGUGGCGAACGGGUGAGUAAUGCAUCGGAACGUACCGUGUCAUGGGGGAUAACGUAGCGAAAGUUACGCUAAUACCGCAUACGACCUGCGGGUGAAAGCAGGUGAUCGCAAGACUUUGCGUUAUACGAGCGGCCGAUGUCAGUUUAGCUAGUUGGUGAGGUAAAGGCUCACCAAGGCGACGAUCUGUAGCGGGUCUGAGAGGAUGAUCCGCCACACUGGGACUGAGACACGGCCCAGACUCCUACGGGAGGCAGCAGUGGGGAAUUUUGGACAAUGGGGGCAACCCUGAUCCAGCCAUGCCGCGUGAGUGAAGAAGGCCUUCGGGUUGUAAAGCUCUUUCGGCCGGGAAGAAAUCGCACAGGCUAAUACUCUGUGUGGAUGACGGUACCGGCAUAAGAAGCACCGGCUAACUACGUGCCAGCCGCCGCCGUAA
Molecule: ribosomal RNA, 504 nt
Filed under: uncultured bacterium
Lineage: Bacteria
Description: partial 16S ribosomal RNA
Rfam family: Bacterial small subunit ribosomal RNA
Source: RNAcentral